This 253-nucleotide ribosomal RNA is filed under the name uncultured bacterium. RNAcentral's name for it is "partial 16S ribosomal RNA". It matches the Rfam family "Bacterial small subunit ribosomal RNA", at positions 524 to 776 of the family's 1533-position model. The record is from RNAcentral.
UACGAAGGGUGCUAGCGUUGUUCGGAAUCACUGGGCGUAAAGCGUGCGUAGGCGGCUUCUCAAGUCAGGGGUGAAAUCCUGAGGCUCAACCUCAGAAUUGCCUUUGAAACUGUGAAGCUGGAGUACUGGAGGGGAUAGCGGAAUUCCUAAUGUAGAGGUGAAAUUCGUAGAUAUUCGCAAGAACACCAGUGGCGAAGGCGGCUCACUGGCCCGGUACUGACGCUGAGGUGCGAAAGCGUGGGGAGCAAACAGG